CGCGUGGGGCGGAAACGACACUAACAAUCCUUCGGGUGCGUUAAUGGGCGUCGAGCGGCGGACGGGUGAGUAAUGCCUAGGAAAUUGCCUUGAUGUGGGGGAUAACCAUUGGAAACGAUGGCUAAUACCGCAUAAUGCCUACGGGCCAAAGAGGGGGAUCUUCGGACCUCUCGCGUCAAGAUAUGCCUAGGUGGGAUUAGCUAGUUGGUGAGGUAAUGGCUCACCAAGGCGACGAUCCCUAGCUGGUCUGAGAGGAUGAUCAGCCACACUGGAACUGAGACACGGUCCAGACUCCUACGGGAGGCAGCAGUGGGGAAUAUUGCACAAUGGGCGAAAGCCUGAUGCAGCCAUGCCGCGUGUAUGAAGAAGGCCUUCGGGUUGUAAAGUACUUUCAGUUGUGAGGAAGGGGUAACG
RNAcentral lists this ribosomal RNA (414 nucleotides) under uncultured Vibrio sp. RNAcentral describes it as "bacterial SSU rRNA". It matches the Rfam family "Bacterial small subunit ribosomal RNA", at positions 34 to 458 of the family's 1533-position model. The record is from RNAcentral. Lineage: Bacteria; Pseudomonadati; Pseudomonadota; Gammaproteobacteria; Vibrionales; Vibrionaceae.